RNAcentral lists this ribosomal RNA (493 nucleotides) under uncultured bacterium. RNAcentral describes it as "bacterial SSU rRNA". It matches the Rfam family "Bacterial small subunit ribosomal RNA", at positions 903 to 1397 of the family's 1533-position model. The record is from RNAcentral.
AAAGGAAUUGACGGGGGCCCGCACAAGCGGUGGAGCAUGUGGUUUAAUUCGAAGCAACGCGAAGAACCUUACCAGGUCUUGACAUCCUCUGACCGCCUAAGAGAUUAGGCUUUCCCUUCGGGGACAGAGUGACAGGUGGUGCAUGGUUGUCGUCAGCUCGUGUCGUGAGAUGUUGGGUUAAGUCCCGUAACGAGCGCAACCCUUAAGAUUAGUUGCCAGCAUUCAGUUGGGCACUCUAAUUUGACUGCCGGUGACAAACCGGGGGAAGGUGGGGAUGACGUCAAAUCAUCAUGCCCCUUAUGACCUGGGCGACACACGUGCUACAAUGGAUGGAACAGAGGGCAGCGAGACGGUGACGUUUAGCGAAUCCCUUAAAACCAUUCUCAGUUCGGAUUGUAGGCUGCAAUUCGCCUGCAUGAAGCAGGAAUCGCUAGUAAUCGCGGAUCAGCAUGCCGCGGUGAAUCCGUUCCCGGGCCUUGUACACACCGCCCGU